AACGAACGCUGGCGGCAUGCCUAACACAUGCAAGUCGAACGAAACCUUCGGGUCUAGUUGCGCACCGGUAGGUACCGCGUGGUAACCUGCCCUUAGGUUCGGAAUAACUCCCCGUAAGGUGUGCUAAUACCGGUUAAUGUCAUCGGGCCAAAGAGUUAUCGCCUUUGGAUGGGCCCGGGUUGGAUUCGCUAGUUGGUAGGGUAAAAGCCGACCAAGGAGACGAUCCAUAGCUGGUCUGAGAGGAUGACCAGCCACAAUGGGAAUGAGACACGGCCCAGACUCCUACGGGAGGCAGCAGUGGGGAAUAUUAGACGAGGGGCGAAGGUCUGAUACAGCAAUGCCGCGUGAGUGAUGAAGGCGGUAGGGUUGUAAAGCUCUUUUACCCGGGAUGAUAAUGACAGUAACGGGAGAAUAAGCUCCGGCUAACUACGUG
Molecule: ribosomal RNA, 433 nt
Filed under: uncultured bacterium
Lineage: Bacteria
Description: partial 16S ribosomal RNA
Rfam family: Bacterial small subunit ribosomal RNA
Source: RNAcentral